GAACCUCCGUUCGCGUCGCAUUGUCCCUGCGGCUUCACUUCGUCCACCAUGCUAUGAAAUAUGAACCCUUGACUUCCCUUGUUUUCCAGGGCUUGAUGGACCUGUUGUGCAGCUACCAAAAGAUCCGACGAUGAGCUUCCAAUUUUCAGCACCUGAGAAUCAUAUGUACACCAUGUGAUAUAAUAGGACAAAAACAUUAUUGUAUAUUAACUUCAAUUACUAGUACAACAUCAUUAGACAAGAUAGAUAAGAUACACACACUUCUGUCUUCGUAUUAGAAAUUGAUAGGAGCGGUUGAAGCAUUUGACUUUUCAUAGUAUUAUUUAUUCGUCCAAGUGCUUAUCUUGAUGGUAUCUAAUAUAAUUGGUAUUCAUUCAUGGUAUCUUGUAGUUACUUGAUCAUAUUGUUAUUCAAGGGGAAAACUCUUAAAUAUAUUGAUAUGUUUUUUUUCCAUAUUCACAUUGGAUAUUCCAUAAAGAUUGCUAAACAUUUAUGUGA
This is a non-coding RNA of Arachis ipaensis, 498 nucleotides long. Lineage: Eukaryota; Viridiplantae; Streptophyta; Magnoliopsida; Fabales; Fabaceae. The record is from RefSeq and is a predicted model, not a curated record.